Molecule: ribosomal RNA, 253 nt
Filed under: uncultured bacterium
Lineage: Bacteria
Description: partial 16S ribosomal RNA
Rfam family: Bacterial small subunit ribosomal RNA
Source: RNAcentral
UACGUAGGGUGCAAGCGUUAAUCGGAAUUACUGGGCGUAAAGCGUGCGCAGGCGGUUAUGUAAGUCAGAUGUGAAAUCCCCGGGCUCAACCUGGGAACUGCAUUUGUGACUGCAUCGCUGGAGUGCGGCAGAGGGGGAUGGAAUUCCGCGUGUAGCAGUGAAAUGCGUAGAUAUGCGGAGGAACACCGAUGGCGAAGGCAAUCCCCUGGGCCUGCACUGACGCUCAUGCACGAAAGCGUGGGGAGCAAACAGG